GUCUUCUUGAUUGUAUAGGAAGUCUGACCUGCCCGGUGAAUAAGUAUUUAACGGCCGCGGUAUUCUGACCGUGCAAAGGUAGCAUAAUCAUUAGUCUUUUAAUAGAGGGCUGGAAUGAAGGGUUUGACGAAAUGCUUACUGUCUCAUUUAAUUUGAAAUUUGAAUUUGACUUUUUAGUUAAAAGGCUAAAUUGUUGUUGGAAGACGAGAAGACCCUAUAGAGCUUUAUAUUUUAAAAUUUAAAAGAUUUUUGUUUAAUUGUUAUUUUUUAAAUGGAAAAAUAUUUUGUUGGGGUGACAAAAAUAUAGAAUAAACUUUUUUAUUUAUUUAACAUUGAUAUAUGAGUAUUAGAUCCAUUAUUAUUGAUUGUUAGAGAAAGUUACCUUAGGGAUAACAGCGUAAUCCUCCUCCAGAGUUCAAAUUUACAGGAAGGCUUGCGACCUCGAUGUUGGAUUAAGAUAAUAAUUAGGUGCAGCCGCUUAAUUAAUAGGUCUGUUCGACCUUUAAAUUCUU
This 512-nucleotide ribosomal RNA is filed under the name Chlorogomphus brunneus. Its description in RNAcentral is "partial 16S rRNA". It matches the Rfam family "Bacterial large subunit ribosomal RNA", at positions 1832 to 2597 of the family's 2925-position model. The record is from RNAcentral. Lineage: Eukaryota; Metazoa; Arthropoda; Insecta; Odonata; Chlorogomphidae.